Molecule: long non-coding RNA, 1385 nt
Organism: Trifolium pratense (red clover)
Lineage: Eukaryota; Viridiplantae; Streptophyta; Magnoliopsida; Fabales; Fabaceae
Exons: 2
Source: RefSeq, a predicted model, not a curated record
UACCCCAACUUUAAUUAAUAGAGAAAUAUUAAUUAUAGGUAAUUAUUGGAGACUAAAGGGAGAUAAGUGAAUGAGUAUGAAAAGAUAAUUAAAGGGCAUAAGUACAAUUUGGUAAUAAGUGAGGGACAAAAGAGACAUUACCAUAGGCAAAAAGGGGCUUUUGAAGAUAAUGGUAUAUAAAUAGAAUAAGAAGGCUAAAAGAAUCAGACCACUCAUUCAUCUUCUUCCUUGGUGGCCGAAAAUCAAGCUCCCACCUUGGUGAGUUCAAAACUCUCCCGUUUCAUGAACUGAAGCUUUGCAUGCAUUAAUCCCAUCCUCCUUUCACCUUGUCAAGAAGCAUGGUAAGACAAAUUUCAAAUCCUCUCUUCUUCUCUGUUUUGUCCUCUCCAUCUAUCAAGAAUACAAAUCUGAUUUGGGUUGAUUUAAGUGCAAAAAGAGAACUUGCAUGUAUGAUUCAAAGCUUGAUAAUGAUGAUUUGUGGUAAUAAGAAGUAACAUUGAAGAUUGAAAUCCAAACUGUUAGUAAUAAGUGGAAGAAGCAAGGUUUUAGGGGAAGUGAAGAACGAAGCAGCGGAUUGAAUCCCCGUAAUAUCGCCUAGUGAGUAUGUCCGUCGCCCAACAAGGACUAUAGGACCUGCUACUGCUGAUUGUUGUUGUUUACAUCUCUGUCAAGCCACUCUUGGUCAAUGGUAAGAAAACCAAAGCUCUUAUCCUUGUCUUUAGAAAUGUUCCAUUCCUUUAGUGUUAGAAAUUCUACUAAUCACAUCUUUGGUAACUGUAUGUGAUAUGUUUGGGGUAAGAGACUUGAUUAAAUGUUUGGAGCUUGACUUUGAAGGAAAAGUGAAAGCUGUGAAGGUAAGGAAAAUAUUCUGCAUAAUUUUCGUAUGGACAUACUCUCAGUAAUUGGGUGAUAUCUGUCAAACCGUAACUCCGUUUUGAAUGGUGUUUACAUGUAUGGAAAGCUGACGAAAUUCUCGUCGUCUAGAUGCCAAUUUCGUAGAAUGUGGAUGAAUAUUGAGGUCUGGAGGCCAGUUUGAAGUUGAAGGUCUGAGAUGGAGAUUAUGCAGAAAAAUUAGGAUGCGGGUUUAAUGUACUUUCGCUGGAAAUUCUGUUUUUCGGCGAGCUCCGAAGAUGUCGUUAGCACGAUUCAGGCAUCAUGUUCAGAUAAACAGGUUGAUCAAGAUAUCAUGGUCUGCAAGCAUGGAGUUCAGAUACUUGGAUUAUGCUAGUUGAGCUGACGUCAUGUUAUCUUAUAUUUGUAUAUGAUUUAGUUUCUUUAUGUUUUCAGUUGUUAGCUCAAUUUAGUAUUAAUCUCUUGGAUUUUGUAAUCCUAUUUAUGUAUUCGGACAAUAUGUGAUGAAAAUUUAAUGUUUCCUGAUUCAGUUA